GAGUUUGAUCAUGGCUCAGGAUGAACGCUAGCGACAGGCUUAACACAUGCAAGUCGAGGGGCAGCGGGGGUGAUGGCUUGCCAUCACCUGCCGGCGACCGGCGCACGGGUGAGUAACACGUAUGCAUCCUGCCCUCUUCAGGGGGACAACCUUCCGAAAGGGAGGCUAAUCCCGCGUAUAUCGGUUUCGGGCAUCCGUUAUCGAGGAAAGAUUCAUCGGAAGAGGAUGGGCAUGCGGCGCAUUAGCUUGACGGCGGGGUAACGGCCCACCGUGGCGACGAUGCGUAGGGGUUCUGAGAGGAAGGUCCCCCACACUGGUACUGAGACACGGACCAGACUCCUACGGGAGGCAGCAGUGAGGAAUAUUGGUCAAUGGGAGGGAUCCUGAACCAGCCAAGCCGCGUGAGGGAAGACGGCCCUAUGGGUUGUAAACCUCUUUUGUCGGAGAACAAAACCCGGGACGUGUCCCGGACUGCGUGUAUCCGAAGAAAAAGCAUCGGCUAACUCCGUGCCAGCAGCCGCGGUAAUACGGAGGAUGCGAGCGUUAUCCGGAUUUAUUGGGUUUAAAGGGUGCGUAGGCGGUCCGUUAAGUCAGCGGUAAAAUUGCGGGGCUCAACCCCGUCGAGCCGUUGAAACUGUCAGACUUGAGUUGGCGAGAAGUACGCGGAAUGCGCGGUGUAGCGGUGAAAUGCAUAGAUAUCGCGCAGAACUCCGAUUGCGAAGGCAGCUUACCAGUCUGCGACUGACGCUCAGGCACGAAAGUGUGGGUAUCGAACAGGAUUAGAUACCCUGGUAGUCCACACAGUAAACGAUGAGCGCUAGGUGUCCGGGUCGCAUGAGACUUGGGUGCCCGAGCGAAAGCGUUAAGCGCUCCACCUGGGGAGUACGCCGGCAACGGUGAAACUCAAAGGAAUUGACGG
RNAcentral lists this ribosomal RNA (919 nucleotides) under uncultured bacterium. RNAcentral's name for it is "bacterial SSU rRNA". It matches the Rfam family "Bacterial small subunit ribosomal RNA", at positions 9 to 916 of the family's 1533-position model. The record is from RNAcentral.